This is a non-coding RNA of Chlorocebus sabaeus (green monkey), 1925 nucleotides long. Lineage: Eukaryota; Metazoa; Chordata; Mammalia; Primates; Cercopithecidae. The record is from RefSeq and is a predicted model, not a curated record.
UUCUGACUGGUGUGAGAUGGCUUGUCAUUGUGGUUUUGAUUUGCAUUUCUCUAAUGAUCAGUGAUGUUGAGCUUUUAAAAAUAUGAUUGUUGGCUCCAUGUACCUUUAUCUAUCUCUGCCCAUGGACUUAAGAGACCACGUGCUUCAUCACACUCCAGGAAAGCAAUAGCCAUUACUAUAAAAUACAAUCUUUGUCCAAAAAAGAAAAAACUUAAAAAGGGGGUUCUUAAAGGUUGAGGGAGGGGUGGGGCAGGAGCAGGGGGGAGCAAUGUCUCUGUUACACAAUAAAAGGAGACCCCAAUAAACAUAAUCAUGCCCUCUCAGAGAGGGGAAAGUGACGCCAAGAAUGCCAACCAUGGUGUUUCAAGAAUUCCCCUCUAGUUCUCUCCAUGUCAGAGGAACCACAAGCAACCCCCUGUUGCUCCCCAAAGCUGCACAGCCCCAAAUCCCAACCUAGAUGGUCUGUCUCUUCCUGCAGGAAAUCGAGGGUGAAGUUGCUGAAUGAGACCACAUGAAGCUUUGGCCAGCCCCAGCUUUCUGAGAUCCAGCUCUCUCUGAUGCUUCUCAGUGCAGCUACUGGGUUUGAACAACGAGAGCUUCCUGUUUCCACACUCUGCCAGCUCACUAGCUGACACCUGUCAUGUCAGAGCCCUCACCUCCCUCUGUCUGGCUUUCACAGGCUGCCUGUGCUACAAGACAUGGAUCCCUGUCUCUGCUCUGCUUCUCUUAAUGGCGCUGGCUGUUGCUACCAGUGACCAAAGAUACCGGAGGCAGAAACGGGCCAGACUAGGAUUUGUUCUAUGACUCACCUGCAGAAUGAAUGGUGCAUGUGAAGCAGAUGGCAGCCAGGCUUAGCAGCACACAUGGACACAGUGCUGGUCUUAUGUUAGAAUGCUUUCAUGUUCAGAAACACAUAUACUCCAUCCCACUCUAUGCUGUACAUCCCUGGAAUAUUCUGUUGGUCCUGGAACACUGCAGACAUGAUGGAGACAGGAGCUUAAAACGUGCUUGUGUCGUGGGGCUGGGUCCCCGGCAAUUCUGUCGUCACCAUGAGAAGAUCAUGCUUGGUUGGCCCAUGACCCAUGAAAAAGAAGAGAAAUGUAAAGAGCAGAGAGCUUCAGCUAAGCCCAGCUGGGUACGAAAGCCUCUGGGUUAAAUGACCAGGGUGAUACUCUUCCUGCUGAGUGGGGUUCUGGGAGCAGGACGACUUUAGCAAGCAAGAGAGGCAGUGCCGCUGGGCACACAGGGAGCACGCUGGCAUCAUCUCUGCUCCACCUAUGGGCAGUGGAGACUUGAGCCCAUUAUUUGAAAUCUCUAAGCCCCAAUUUUCUCAUCUGUAAAAUAGCAAUAAUUAUACUAAUCUUGCAGGGAUUUCCUGAGAAUUAAAUGAGCCAAAGUAUAUGCCUAUAAAACACUCAGCACAAUUCCUGGCUCUUAGAAAAUGCUCAGUACGGUGACUGGUAAAAAAAAUUACAGCAGAACAUGGGAAGCACUGCCGGUGGAAAAUGCUGGGGUCUGAGUGUGCCCACUGCACACUUUCUGGAAAUGAUGGAGACUGUGGUACCCGGACUAGCUAAGGUCUGAGGAGUUAUAGGUAUUUAUGUCAAAACACUUGCUUGUUUUCUGUGAAUCGUGAAUCCUCAAAGGUGUUUUUGCAUGAUGCAAUUCUAUCUAGAGCAUGUAUCAUUGAGCCCACAAAUAGAUGUCAAUAUAGGUGAAUUCCAUAAUUAGUUUGGAAUCCUACACAUGUAAUAUUUGGUAACAGGAGUCUGAGCCCAGCAAGUGUUUUCUAGCACGGUUAUGUGAUGUGUGGUUAACUCUGGGUUAAUACUAUGAUCCAGCCCAGCCCUGCCUCUCAGAAAGAAAUAAAAAUUAAUGUUCAUAGAAUGACUAUAGUUGGUAUAAAAUUAUAGAUUAAUAGUUUU